CCCCCCUGGAUUCCUUACCCCUCAGUCCUACAGAUUGGUCUGAGUGGCUAAAAAAGGGAAGAAGAGUAAAACUGAAAUGGACUUGGAGGUUUUAGCGACAUAUAAGUUCAUUUCCCUUUCUG
This 122-nucleotide small nucleolar RNA is filed under the name Echinops telfairi (small Madagascar hedgehog). RNAcentral describes it as "Small nucleolar RNA SNORA61 (ENSETEG00000025572.1)". Lineage: Eukaryota; Metazoa; Chordata; Mammalia; Afrosoricida; Tenrecidae. The record is from RNAcentral.